RNAcentral lists this long non-coding RNA (444 nucleotides) under Marmota monax (woodchuck). The record is from RNAcentral. Lineage: Eukaryota; Metazoa; Chordata; Mammalia; Rodentia; Sciuridae.
ACUGCAUACGCUGAACCACUCCAUAAUCACAUUCAAAGAGUCAUUCACUGAAUGAAAUAUGAGUUGCAUAAAUCUGGAAAUGACCACUCUCCCAUUUAAUUUCCAACACCUUCAGAGAGGAUGGCUGGCACCUGGUGCUAGAACCCAGGCAACUUGAUUCCCACUGCUCAUAUGUCACUGAGAUAAACAGGAUAAGUGACCUUGUGAGAACAAGACCAUGCACUGUGCUGUGUGGGUAUAUAUACAGCAGACGGUGGAGAGAACACACACGUGCAUGCACUCAGAGGUGUCACACCUGAAGGAAGAAUCAAACAUGGGCAACUUCCAUGCUCACCACAACUGACCAUAGCACAGUAACAUUGUCAGUCACUUACACUCUCCCACUGGCUUUUCCUUUAGGUGGGACUGAGCAAUUUUGACAUCAAUCCUUUUGAAUAAUCACCG